This 584-nucleotide non-coding RNA is filed under the name Pongo abelii (Sumatran orangutan). The record is from RNAcentral. Lineage: Eukaryota; Metazoa; Chordata; Mammalia; Primates; Hominidae.
GCAAGAGAGAAGCACAGAUGAAGAGAGGAGCAUGCUUUGCUCCUGCACCGCUCCCACACCUUCGCACUCCAGAACUGAUUCUUGGCAGCCUAAUGGGGUCUCACAAUGUUGCCCAGGCUGGUCUUGAACUCCUGGGCUCAAGCAAUCCACCUGCCUCGGUCUCCCAAGGUGCUGGGAUGACAGGCCUGAGCCACCACGCCCGGCCACCGCCGCUGCCUUACCCAGGAUGAUGCCGUUGGGCUCCUCCGGAGGUUGCCACACAAUCCGCACGGAGUUUCAGUCAUUUCCUGGGGGUCCUGGGAUGUGUUGCUGGAUAAGGGGGCACUACACGAGGUGUGUGGAGCCCCUGCCAAGAGGAGCGUCCACAGCUCACAUCCACAGCUCAGACCCGCCCCAGCCCCUGCUGCCUCUCCCCAGCACUGCCCACGGCAGAGUUAUGAGGGAAACUCAGCACAGGUUCAUAAUUAGGCUGUAAAAAUCCACUCCAGGCUGAAAUUGGCCAUAUAAGUGCUCAGUGACCGAAAAACAAUUUUGUUUUGUUUCUCUCAACUGCAAAAGAAAGUGGUUUGAAAAUUAAGUUAAAA